CGAUUCUGGCUCAGGAUGAACGCUAGCUACAGGCUUAACACAUGCAAGUCGAGGGGCAGCAUGAAGGAAGCUUGCUUCCUUUGAUGGCGACCGGCGCACGGGUGAGUAACGCGUAUCCAACUUCCCCUUAGUAGGGCAUAGCCCGUAGAAAUGCGGAUUAAUACCCUAUGUUGUAUUUUUGAGGACAUCUGAGGAAUACGAAAGACUUGUCGCUAAGGGAUGGGGAUGCGUCCGAUUAGGUAGUAGGCGGGGUAACGGCCCACCUAGCCGUCGAUCGGUAGGGGUUCUGAGAGGAAGGUCCCCCACACUGGAACUGAGACACGGUCCAGACUCCUACGGGAGGCAGCAGUGAGGAAUAUUGGUCAAUGGGCGUAGGCCUGAACCAGCCCAAGUAGCGUGGAGGAUGACGGCCCUACGGGUUGUAAACUCCUUUUAUGCGGGGAUAAAGUGCGGGACGUGUCCCGUUUUGCAGGUACCGCAUGAAUAAGGACCGGCUAAUUCCGUGCCAGCCGCGGC
RNAcentral lists this ribosomal RNA (516 nucleotides) under uncultured bacterium. RNAcentral's name for it is "bacterial SSU rRNA". It matches the Rfam family "Bacterial small subunit ribosomal RNA", at positions 14 to 518 of the family's 1533-position model. The record is from RNAcentral.